UCGAGGAUCAUUCGCAAUGCGCGAAAGCGUGACGGUGCGACGCCGCGUGCAGGAUGACGGCCUUCGGGUUGUAAACUGCUGACAGGAGGGAGCAACGGGCGGGAUACUAAUACUAUCUCGCAGUGAUAGUACCUCCAGAGGAAGCCACGGCUAACUCUGUGCCAGCAGCCGCGGUAAUACAGAGGCGGCGAGCGUUGUUCGGAUUUACUGGGCGUAAAGGGUGCGUAGGCGGUUCUGCAUGUCGGAUG
Molecule: ribosomal RNA, 248 nt
Filed under: uncultured bacterium
Lineage: Bacteria
Description: partial 16S ribosomal RNA
Rfam family: Bacterial small subunit ribosomal RNA
Source: RNAcentral